Molecule: ribosomal RNA, 1295 nt
Filed under: Nitratireductor sp. 13
Lineage: Bacteria; Pseudomonadati; Pseudomonadota; Alphaproteobacteria; Hyphomicrobiales; Phyllobacteriaceae
Description: bacterial SSU rRNA
Rfam family: Bacterial small subunit ribosomal RNA (bases 1-746)
Source: RNAcentral
AGGCAAUUGCGCGUCUACUCAUGCAGUCGAACGCUUCUCCGGGGACUGGCACACGGGUGAAUAAUGGGCGGAAAUCUACCUGGCUCUUCGGAAUCCCUCCUGGAAACUUGAGAUAAUAUUGUAUACCUCCUUCUGGAGAAAGAUUUAUCUUAUUUUCAUGAGCCCAUGUCUGAUUAGACUGUUGGUGAGGUAAAGGCUCACCAGAGCGACGAUCCAUUACUGGUCUGAGAGGAUGAUGGCUCACCCUGGGACUGUGACACGGCCCACACUCCUAGGGGAGGCGCCACUGGGGAAUUUUGAACAAUGGGCGACUCCCUGAUCAGGCCAUGCCGCGUAAGUGAUGAAGGCCCUAGGGUUGUAAACCUAUUUCCCCGGCGAAAAUGAUGACGGUUACCGGAUAAUAAACCUCUGUUGUCUUCGAGCAACAAGGAUGAGAGUUACUGCUGGGGCUAUGAUUGUUCGGAAUUACUGGGCGUGGCUAACUACUAGGCGGAUCCCGCGGUUAUGGGUGAAAUCCCGGGGCUCAACCCCAUUAACUGCCUCUAAUACUGCCGAUCUAGAGUUCUUUAAGAGGUGAUGUGGAAUUCCCUGUGCUCAACGUGAAAUUCGUCAUAUAUAAACUGGAAACACUUGUGUGCGAAAGCAGGCUCACUGGAAUUCAUUGUGACGCUGAGGUGUGAAAGCAUGUGUAGCGGACCGGAUUAGAUACCCUGCGACUUUCUGGUCUGUAACUGACGCUGCUAGCUCGUCAGCAUGUUUACCUGUCAGUGAUUACAUUUCACUGCAUAGUCCAUGCCCGUCCUGGGAUAGUACGCUAAGUGUUAUUAAAACUCCCGCCGAAUUGACGCUGCGCCCUACACGCAUUAAUGGAAUCAUGUGGUGGAGUACGAAGCAACGCGUUGAAACCUUACCAGACUCUGUGACAUCGUCGCGUCACAAGAUACCGGGAGCAUGUUGUUCUUAUUUCUUAAGGCAACGACCAAAAACAUGAUGCAUGCUCUUUGCUGUCGUCAGCUCACGUCUAUGAGAUAGAUUCUGUUCAAGUCGCGGCACAGAGCGACACGCUGCGGCCAUGGUUGUCGUCCCUUCAGUGUCGGCACUCUGAAGGGUACUGUCGGUCAUCAACGCAACGCAAUGUGAGGAUGUACUGCAGUCAUCAUGGGCCUCAGGCUGACGCUACGCUCGAUGACUCGAAUGGUAGUGACGGAUGACAGUCGAAUCGUCUAGGCUGAUGACUUGGCAUAACAUCUGCAUUCAUGAUUGGGAAUCAUGCAAGUCGCGGAGAACACUCGCCA